AAUGCCAAGGAGUAUUUUACUUUUUAGCAAAAACCUUCUCUUAAAUGUGGAGAACACUCAGGGGGAGGUGGAAGAGAGAAAGCAGUGAACAGAUUCAUCUUCCCUUCUAUAUCUGAAAGGAUAAGCAGGCUGUGCUUUCCAGAAAUGCGUGACCUAUCCAAUCCUUCCUCUCAUGGAAACACCAACUCAUCCAUGCCCUCUGUGCUGAAACUUCGUCUCAGCCUGCUGGAAUCACCUGCACCCCAUGGGAACUGUAGCCAUAUCUUCAGUCCUGUGAGCCCCCGUCAUGGCCUGUCACAGGAGUAAAUGAGGAGUAAGGCCCAGAAUACUCAGUACCUCUCAAUGACCCUCAGACGCUGUAGGAAGAGGAUUGGUUCACCUUUUAACCCAGAAUUUCUCACAUUGAAUGGACAGGAUGCAUUCCAAGAGGCCAGAGUAUGUGCAUCUCAGCUCCUGAUGGUUUCCACCACCACCAUUACUUUCUCUAUGUCAAGAUACCUGGGAAGCCGGAAAGGCCACAUGGAAAGCAGUGCUCCUCUUCUUCACUGGAUGUGAUCAUUUUUGCAUAAGAGAUUACUGAAUCAUCUUGCAAUAACAUAAGACUUGUCUGCCUGCCAAAAUAAUUUGCUCUGCUAAGGAUGGCAGAGCAAGGAAAGGAGGAAGCACCCAGGUCCUUGACAAGUGUUUCAUUUGCAUUCUUGGAGCCCAGGAACUGUCUUCUACAAACUUUUCUUCCUAGUACCAUGUAAACGUACACAGGAAACGUUCAGAAAACAUCAGCCAAAUAGAAGA
RNAcentral lists this long non-coding RNA (792 nucleotides) under Homo sapiens (human). RNAcentral describes it as "long intergenic non-protein coding RNA 607". The record is from RNAcentral. Lineage: Eukaryota; Metazoa; Chordata; Mammalia; Primates; Hominidae.